This 58-nucleotide transfer RNA is filed under the name Anolis urraoi (Urrao anole). RNAcentral describes it as "partial tRNA-Asn". Lineage: Eukaryota; Metazoa; Chordata; Lepidosauria; Squamata; Anolidae. The record is from RNAcentral.
CGGAGUAAGCGGGCCUUGAUCCCACAAAAAUUAGUUAACAGCUAACUACCCUAGCCAG